UGGUAGAGCCGAAAUGAGAGACAGGCCUCUCAGAAGCCAAUGGAAAUGGGUAGCUGGGAGCGGCCUCAUAAUUUCUUUUCAUCUCCUUCAUGAAAAUUAUGGAGAUGACCUCCCUCCCCUGCCACCCAUAUCUAUUGCUUUUGGGAGUCUCUCCCUUUUCCCUUCAUGCCAUCCACUCCCCAGGUGAUGAUUAAGCAGCUAAUUAGAGAUGUAUGUGCACCAAGUUGGCCCUUCAACUAGCAUUGCAAUUAGAAAUUGUUCUAUGAAAGGAAUAUGAGUUGUACAUGCCUGAAAAAAAAAAUUGAAAGAAAGAUAGCAUGAAACAAAUAAAUUAGUUUUGAGCACUUGCUUGAUAACAAUUAGUAAUUAUAUAUACAGCAUAUGCUAGGAUUUUUUUUUUUUAUUUGUCAAAUAUAUAUUCUGGGAUUUCAGUCAAGCAAAGCUAGCACACUUGGGAACUACUCCCUUGCCAAAUCAAAAGCAUAUAUAGAUUUAUUUUUAUUAUUAUUUUUAGAUUAAGAGCAUACGACUUCUUCAGUCAAUUAAAUACAAGUAUGCAUCGGCUGGAACAAAAACCAAUUUACUUGUGCUGCAUCAAACAAAUAAAGCUAAAAGGAAAUGAACAUAAAAACCAACUUUAAGGAAGAUUAUUAUUAAGAAAAUUACUGCAGCGACUAUAUGAUUAUCAUAUUCACUAGCACAUCAAAAUAUACAGGCAAGAAUACAAGAAGAAGGAUUGAAGCAUAUCUGAAAAUUCAGUAUUUAAUUUCAUUUUUCAGCAGAAUAAUAGCGAAAAGGCAAUCGAAAAAUGAAUAGAAAUUGACCAAAAAGAAGCAAAAAGAAAAAGAAAAGAAA
This is a long non-coding RNA of Pyrus x bretschneideri (Chinese white pear), 855 nucleotides long. RefSeq lists it as uncharacterized. The record is from RefSeq and is a predicted model, not a curated record. The transcript has 2 exons. Lineage: Eukaryota; Viridiplantae; Streptophyta; Magnoliopsida; Rosales; Rosaceae.